Molecule: ribosomal RNA, 440 nt
Filed under: uncultured bacterium
Lineage: Bacteria
Description: partial 16S ribosomal RNA
Rfam family: Bacterial small subunit ribosomal RNA
Source: RNAcentral
CUACGGGGGGCUGCAGUGGGGAAUCUUAGACAAUGGGGGAAACCCUGAUCUAGCCAUGCCGCGUGAGUGACGAAGGCCUUAGGGUCGUAAAGCUCUUUCGCUGGGGAAGAUAAUGACUGUACCCAGUAAAGAAACCCCGGCUAACUCCGUGCCAGGCAGCCGCGGUAAUACGGAGGGGGUUAGCGUUGUUCGGAAUUACUGGGCGUAAAGCGCGCGUAGGCGGACUGGAAAGUUGGGGGUGAAAUCCCGGGGCUCAACCCCGGAACGGCCUCCAAAACUAUCAGUCUAGAGUUCGAGAGAGGUGAGUGGAAUUCCGAGUGUAGAGGUGAAAUUCGUAGAUAUUCGGAGGAACACCAGUGGCGAAGGCGGCUCACUGGCUCGAUACUGACGCUGAGGUGCGAAAGCGUGGGGAGCAAACAGGAUUAGAUACCCGGGUAGUC